Non-coding RNA from Pleomassaria siparia CBS 279.74, 106 nucleotides. The record is from the annotation of a GenBank genome assembly. NCBI's taxonomy places the organism in Eukaryota, Fungi, Ascomycota, Dothideomycetes, Pleosporales, Pleomassariaceae.
GUCUCCUUGGUGUAGUUGGUUAUCACGUGGGUCUCAUAGCUACCACACUAUGACUGCUGUUACAGUAGGAAUCCCAAGGCCGCCAGUUCGAGUCUGGCAGGGGACA